RNAcentral lists this ribosomal RNA (590 nucleotides) under uncultured fungus. RNAcentral describes it as "eukaryotic LSU rRNA". The stretch from base 211 to 364 matches the Rfam family "5.8S ribosomal RNA". The record is from RNAcentral. Lineage: Eukaryota; Fungi.
AGUCGUAACAAGGUCUCCGUAGGUGAACCUGCGGAGGGAUCAUUACACAAAUAUGAAGGCGGGCUGGAACCUCUCGGGGUUACAGCCUUGCUGAAUUAUUCACCCUUGUCUUUUGCGUACUUCUUGUUUCCUUGGUGGGUUCGCCCACCACUAGGACAAACAUAAACCUUUUGUAAUUGCAAUCAGCGUCAGUAACAAAUUAAUAACUACAACUUUCAACAACGGAUCUCUUGGUUCUGGCAUCGAUGAAGAACGCAGCGAAAUGCGAUAAGUAGUGUGAAUUGCAGAAUUCAGUGAAUCAUCGAAUCUUUGAACGCACAUUGCGCCCUUUGGUAUUCCAAAGGGCAUGCCUGUUCGAGCGUCAUUUGUACCCUCAAGCUUUGCUUGGUGUUGGGCGUCUUGUCUCUAGCUUUGCUGGAGACUCGCCUUAAAGUAAUUGGCAGCCGGCCUACUGGUUUCGGAGCGCAGCACAAGUCGCACUCUCUAUCAGCAAAGGUCUAGCAUCCAUUAAGCCUUUUUUUUCAACUUUUGACCUCGGAUCAGGUAGGGAUACCCGCUGAACUUAAGCAUAUCAAUAGAAGUAAAAGUCG